RNAcentral lists this ribosomal RNA (1077 nucleotides) under Phoma sp. zzz202. RNAcentral describes it as "SSU rRNA". It matches the Rfam family "Eukaryotic small subunit ribosomal RNA", at positions 40 to 1133 of the family's 1831-position model. The record is from RNAcentral. Lineage: Eukaryota; Fungi; Ascomycota; Dothideomycetes; Pleosporales; Didymellaceae.
CAAUAAAGCCUUGUCUUAGUUUAAGCAUUAUACCGUGAAACUGCGAAUGGCUCAUUAAAUCAGUUAUCGUUUAUUUGAUAGUACCUUACUACUUGGAUAACCGUGGUAAUUCUAGAGCUAAUACAUGCUGAAAACCCCAACUUCGGGAGGGGUGUAUUUAUUAGAUAAAAAACCAACGCCCUUCGGGGCUUCUUGGUGAUUCAUGAUAACUUCACGGAUCGCAUGGCCUUGCGCCGGCGACGGUUCAUUCAAAUUUCUGCCCUAUCAACUUUCGAUGGUAAGGUAUUGGCUUACCAUGGUUUCAACGGGUAACGGGGAAUUAGGGUUCGAUUCCGGAGAGGGAGCCUGAGAAACGGCUACCACAUCCAAGGAAGGCAGCAGGCGCGCAAAUUACCCAAUCCCGACACGGGGAGGUAGUGACAAUAAAUACUGAUACAGGGCUCUUUUGGGUCUUGUAAUUGGAAUGAGUACAAUUUAAACCUCUUAACGAGGAACAAUUGGAGGGCAAGUCUGGUGCCAGCAGCCGCGGUAAUUCCAGCUCCAAUAGCGUAUAUUAAAGUUGUUGCAGUUAAAAAGCUCGUAGUUGAAACUUGGGCCUGGCUGGCAGGUCCGCCUCACCGCGUGUACUUGUCCGGCCGGGCCUUUCCUUCUGGAGAACCUCAUGCCCUUCACUGGGUGUGUUGGGGAACCAGGACUUUUACUUUGAAAAAAUUAGAGUGUUCAAAGCAGGCCUUUGCUCGAAUACGUUAGCAUGGAAUAAUAGAAUAGGACGUGCGGUCCUAUUUUGUUGGUUUCUAGGACCGCCGUAAUGAUUAAUAGGGACAGUCGGGGGCAUCAGUAUUCAAUUGUCAGAGGUGAAAUUCUUGGAUUUAUUGAAGACUAACUACUGCGAAAGCAUUUGCCAAGGAUGUUUUCAUUAAUCAGUGAACGAAAGUUAGGGGAUCGAAGACGAUCAGAUACCGUCGUAGUCUUAACCGUAAACUAUGCCGACUAGGGAUCGGGCGAUGUUCUUUUUCUGACUCGCUCGGCACCUUACGAGAAAUCAAAGUUUUUGGAUCUGGGGGGAGUAUGUCACCU